RNAcentral lists this ribosomal RNA (115 nucleotides) under Rickettsiales bacterium. The record is from RNAcentral. Lineage: Bacteria; Pseudomonadati; Pseudomonadota; Alphaproteobacteria; Rickettsiales.
UCUGGUGAUUAUUGAGCGGAAGCCACUCGCUGUUCCAUCCCGAACCAGGCCGAGAAACUCCGUAUCGCCAAUGGUACUUUGGCUUAAGCCACGGAAGAGUAGGUCGUCGCCAGAA